This 556-nucleotide ribosomal RNA is filed under the name uncultured Glomus. RNAcentral describes it as "SSU rRNA". It matches the Rfam family "Eukaryotic small subunit ribosomal RNA", at positions 548 to 1103 of the family's 1831-position model. The record is from RNAcentral. Lineage: Eukaryota; Fungi; Glomeromycota; Glomeromycetes; Glomerales; Glomeraceae.
UUGGAGGGCAAGUCUGGUGCCAGCAGCCGCGGUAAUUCCAGCUCCAAUAGCGUAUAUUAAAGUUGUUGCAGUUAAAAAGCUCGUAGUUGAACUUCGGGGUUCACCCAUUGGUCAGGCUUAAUUGUCUGUACUGGUGAGAUGAGUCUCUACCUUCUGAGGAACUUUCAUGCCAUUUGUUUGGUGUGAUUGGAAAUCAGGACUGUUACUUUGAAAAAAUUAGAGUGUUUAAAGCAGGCUAACGUCUGAAUACAUUAGCAUGGAAUAAUGAAAUAGGACGGAUUGAUUCUAUUUCGUUGGUUUCUAGGGUCACCGUAAUGAUUAAUAGGGAUAGUUGGGGGCAUUAGUAUUCAAUUGUCAGAGGUGAAAUUCUUGGAUUUAUUGAAGACUAACUACUGCGAAAGCAUUUGCCAAGGAUGUUUUCAUUAAUCAAGAACGAAAGUUAGGGGAUCGAAGACGAUCAGAUACCGUCGUAGUCUUAACCAUAAACUAUGCCGACUAGGGAUCGGACGCAGUUAAUUUUAUAAUGACGUGUUCGGCACCUUACGGGAAACCAAAG